This 443-nucleotide ribosomal RNA is filed under the name uncultured bacterium. Its description in RNAcentral is "partial 16S ribosomal RNA". It matches the Rfam family "Bacterial small subunit ribosomal RNA", at positions 338 to 795 of the family's 1533-position model. The record is from RNAcentral.
CCUACGGGAGGCAGCAGUGGGGAAUAUUGCACAAUGGGCGAAAGCCUGAUGCAGCAACGCCGCGUGAAGGAAGACGGUUUUCGGAUUGUAAACUUCUAUCAACAGGGAAGAAAGAAAUGACGGUACCUAAAUAAGAAGCCCCGGCUAACUACGUGCCAGCAGCCGCGGUAAUACGUAGGGGGCAAGCGUUAUCCGGAAUUACUGGGUGUAAAGGGAGAGUAGGCGGCUCGGCAAGCGUGAUGUGAAAGCCUUGGGCUUAACCAAAGGAUUGCAUAACGAACUAUCUAGCUAGAGUGCAGGAGAGGUAAGCGGAAUUCCUAGUGUAGCGGUGAAAUGCGUAGAUAUUAGGAAGAACACCAGUGGCGAAGGCGGCUUACUGGACUGAAACUGACGCUGAGGCUCGAAAGCGUGGGGAGCGAACAGGAUUAGAUACCCCUGUAGUC